This 1007-nucleotide small RNA is filed under the name Pan troglodytes (chimpanzee). RNAcentral describes it as "processed transcript". Lineage: Eukaryota; Metazoa; Chordata; Mammalia; Primates; Hominidae. The record is from RNAcentral.
AGCGCGUAGGGGCCGAGCGACCCCGGGACGCUCGCGGCACCCUCCGCAGGAAAAUUUCCGACUUGGUUCUUGAGGUUCCUGCCUCAGCCCCAAGGAGGAAAGCACCCAUUCUCCCCUCUUUUCCGCAUUCCGGGCCUUUUCUGCUUCUCCCCAGUAUGGUCCGAAACUACAGGAGGGGAACCCCUCCUGGCCCGGCCUUUCUAUUCCCUGGCUGGAGUGAUUCCGCCUGAAGGAGAAUUCGCCCGUUUUCCCCGGACCCAGCUGCCACAAGCAUUUAGUAUUAGGCUGCCGCUUAUUAUUAGAGCGGGCUUAGAACAUCCUCAGCGAGGUAGGUCGGCGUUCCUUUUCUCACUUAAAGGUGAGGUGUCGAGACGCGCCCCUGGACAGACAACGCCCGAAGGUCCAGGCCACUACGAAGUCCACGGAGGGGCAGCUUUCCCCUACGUGUAGGCCCGCGAACAAAGAACUACCGUUUUCUGAUUUUUUUUUUUUUUUGGCCGAUGUUCGUCAUGCAGAACCUUGAAUCCCGAUGAAGAUUUGGAGGCCUUUUGUAUCCUCAACAUCAGAGGUUGGAGUGCUGGAGUGCAGUAGCAUGAUCUCCGUUCACUGCAGCCUCAACCUCCUGGGCUCAAGUAAUCCUCCUGUCUUGUCCUCCCAAAAUGCUGGAAUUACAGUAUCAUAAUGAAGACCUGGAAAAAGACAAAACAUCACAAAACUGCCUAGGAAGAGGAAUGGAACAAGUAGCAAAGAAGUUAGGGGUGGCUCAUGAAGAGAUUCAAAGGCUCACUGAUGAACUACAAGUGAAGGAGAAGGAACAAUGUAAAUUAGGUAAGCUGUGGUUUCAGAUGACCAUUUCCGAUCAUGCUUUAACUGUACUGAUCUCAUCUCAGGGUGGAACAUGAGAAAAAAAAAAACACUGAGAAAAAAGUCUUUAAGAUAAACACAUAAAAGUGAUGAACAGCCUCAUUUUCUACCAUGCUAGGAAUUUUUGUCAAAGCCCAAGCAUA